This 560-nucleotide ribosomal RNA is filed under the name Filobasidium magnum. RNAcentral describes it as "eukaryotic LSU rRNA". It matches the Rfam family "Eukaryotic large subunit ribosomal RNA", at positions 104 to 651 of the family's 3401-position model. Lineage: Eukaryota; Fungi; Basidiomycota; Tremellomycetes; Filobasidiales; Filobasidiaceae. The record is from RNAcentral.
GAGCUCAAAUUUGAAAUCUGGUGGCCUCAGGUCAUCCGAGUUGUAAUCUAUAGAAGUGUUUUCCGUGCUGGCUCAUGUACAAGUCCCUUGGAACAGGGCGUCAUAGAGGGUGAGAAUCCCGUCCUUGACAUGAACUACCAGUGCUCUGUGAUACAUUUUCAACGAGUCGAGUUGUUUGGGAAUGCAGCUCAAAAUGGGUGGUAAAUUCCAUCUAAAGCUAAAUAUUGGCGAGAGACCGAUAGCGAACAAGUACCGUGAGGGAAAGAUGAAAAGCACUUUGGAAAGAGAGUUAAACAGUAUGUGAAAUUGUUGAAAGGGAAACGAUUGAAGUCAGUCGUGCUCUUUGGAUUCAGCCGGUUCUGCCGGUGUACUUCCUUUGAGUGGGGUCAACAUCAGUUUUGAUCGCUGGAUAAAGGCUGGAGGAACGUAGUACCCUCGGGUAAACUUAUAGCCUCCUGUCACAUACAGUGGUUGGGACUGAGGAACGCAGCACGCCUUUAUGGCCGGGAUUCGUCCACGUACGUGCUUAGGAUGUUGACAUAAUGGCUUUAAACGACCCG